UACGUAGGGGGCAAGCGUUGUCCGGAAUCAUUGGGCGUAAAGCGCGUGUAGGCGGCCCGGUAAGUCCGCUGUGAAAGUCGGGGGCUCAACCCUCGAAUGCCGGUGGAUACUGUCGGGCUAGAGUGUGGAAGAGGCGAGUGGAAUUCCUGGUGUAGCGGUGAAAUGCGCAGAUAUCAGGAGGAACACCAAUUGCGAAGGCAGCUCGCUGGGACGUGACUGACGCUGAGACGCGAAAGCGUGGGGAGCAAACAGG
RNAcentral lists this ribosomal RNA (253 nucleotides) under uncultured bacterium. RNAcentral describes it as "partial 16S ribosomal RNA". It matches the Rfam family "Bacterial small subunit ribosomal RNA", at positions 524 to 776 of the family's 1533-position model. The record is from RNAcentral.